CCUACGGGUGGCUGCAGUGAGGAAUAUUGGUCAAUGGGAGAGAUCCUGAACCAGCCAAGUCGCGUGAGGGAAGACGGCCCUACGGGUUGUAAACCUCUUUUGUCGGGGAGCAAAGCGAGUCACGUGUGACUCAUUGAGAGUACCCGAAGAAAAAGCAUCGGCUAACUCCGUGCCAGCAGCCGCGGUAAUACGGAGGAUGCGAGCGUUAUCCGGAUUUAUUGGGUUUAAAGGGUGCGCAGGCGGCCUGUUAAGUCAGCGGUAAAAGCCCGGGGCUCAACCCCGGCGAGCCGUUGAAACUGGCGGGCUGGAGUUGGAGAGAAGUACGCGGAAUGCGCGGUGUAGCGGUGAAAUGCUUAGAUAUCGCGCAGAACCCCGAUUGCGAAGGCAGCGUACCGGCUCCACACUGACGCUGAGGCACGAAAGCGUGGGUAUCGAACAGGAUUAGAUACCCCAGUAGUC
Molecule: ribosomal RNA, 459 nt
Filed under: uncultured bacterium
Lineage: Bacteria
Description: partial 16S ribosomal RNA
Rfam family: Bacterial small subunit ribosomal RNA
Source: RNAcentral